CAGUAGCCACGGGAAUACAGAGGGUGCAAGCGUUAAUCGGAUUUACUGGGCGUAAAGGGCGCGUAGGUGGUUAUGUAAGUGAGAUGUGAAAUCCCCGGGCUCAACCUGGGAACUGCAUCUUAUACUGCGUAGCUGGAGUGCAGUAGAGGGUAGUGGAAUUUCCGGUGUAGCGGUGAAAUGCGUAGAUAUCGGAAGGAACACCAGUGGCGAAGGCGGCUACCUGGACUGACACUGACACUGAGGCGCGAAAGCGUGGGGAGCAAACAGGAUUAGAGACCCCAGUAGUCCCUGUCUCUUAUAC
Molecule: ribosomal RNA, 301 nt
Filed under: uncultured bacterium
Lineage: Bacteria
Description: partial 16S ribosomal RNA
Rfam family: Bacterial small subunit ribosomal RNA
Source: RNAcentral